Angiostrongylus cantonensis (rat lungworm) is the source of this 72-nucleotide non-coding RNA. NCBI's taxonomy places the organism in Eukaryota, Metazoa, Nematoda, Chromadorea, Rhabditida, Metastrongylidae. The record is from Rfam.
GACCGCUUGGCGCAAUGGUAGCGCGUUCGAUUCCAGAUCGAAAUGUUGGGCAUUCGAUCCGCUCAGUGGUGA